RNAcentral lists this ribosomal RNA (459 nucleotides) under uncultured bacterium. RNAcentral's name for it is "partial 16S ribosomal RNA". It matches the Rfam family "Bacterial small subunit ribosomal RNA", at positions 338 to 795 of the family's 1533-position model. The record is from RNAcentral.
CCUACGGGAGGCAGCAGUGAGGAAUAUUGGUCAAUGGGCGCGAGCCUGAACCAGCCAAGUCGCGUGAGGGAAGACGGUCCUAUGGAUUGUAAACCUCUUUUGUCGGGGAGCAAAAGACGCCACGCGUGUCGUUCCGAGAGUACCCGAAGAAAAAGCAUCGGCUAACUCCGUGCCAGCAGCCGCGGUAAUACGGAGGAUGCGAGCGUUAUCCGGAUUUAUUGGGUUUAAAGGGUGCGCAGGCGGAAGAUCAAGUCAGCGGGAAAAUUGAGAGGCUCAACCUCUUCGAGCCGUUGAAACUGGUUUUCUUGAGUGAGCGAGAGGUAUGCGGAAUGCGUGGUGUAGCGGUGAAAUGCAUAGAUAUCACGCAGAACUCCGGUUGCGAAGGCAGCAUACCGGCGCUCAACUGACGCUCAUGCACGAAAGUGUGGGUAUCGAACAGGAUUAGAUACCCGAGUAGUC